AUGCAGAAAGGUCCCGCGUCUACCACUUGGCUGAGACCUGAAGGCACCACCUCCUCCUUAGACUCAAGAUACAAACACGGAUCCAUCUUCGGGGUUUGCAGUAAGUGCUCCACCCCCACUGCCAGAGGAGCUGCGGGUUCUGUGAUUUCCCCUUUUCCCAGGAGCUCUUGCUGCACCAACCUCUGGCGCAGACUACAGCGCAAAGGCCAAGGGAAGGAGGGCAGCCCCGCCUCCUCCCGCGGGGCGUCCCUGGCUCGCUGAACUUCGCUCAUUCCUCCUCGCGGCCACCAGGAGGUGCUGUCGCGUCGCGGAGACCUGGAUCCAGGCGCGGCCCCAGGUCCUGCCUGCACCUGCUGGUUUUCAGAGGCGAGGGCGUCUCCUGGUCGCUCAGGGCUCAACUCUGCGAUUCCCACGCCAAGGCCUAGCGGCUCCCAGGCUGGUUCCAGCACCCGCUCCUCCGCAGUCACCGGGUCCUUCCGGGGAUCCACACCACCCGGAGGUCUGGCUGUUUUCCUUGUUAGUCCUCACAAAACACAAAGGACGUGAACCCACCUGCCCCCCGACGCGCGCACAAGAGCGUGGCUCCCCCUCCUCGUAAGCAAUUCCACCCUCCGCGAUUCCGGAGGGCCUGCUCCUACCGCUCUCACUUGGUCUCGUUUACUUUCUGGGACACAAAGACAUCAUCUCAGUGCGCCUCACAAGAAAGGAGGAAAAGCAACAUUUCAUCUUUGAGGCAUUGGAGUGCCUUGGGAAACGGCCUCAGCACUCCCUCCAGCAAAGGUCCUCCAGGACCUCCCCCCGGGCUCACAAGACACGAUGGCCUGUCCGCUGCUGCACGAGGGCGUGUCAGAGAGAGGCUGUGUCCGCCCUUCUGGACCCAAGGAAAACAGCAGCAGCAGGCGGCCCGCCCCCCGCUCUGGUGCGCAAACAGCGGCUGCAGUUCUUUUCGUUAGGAACGUUAUGACAGCCAGGCACACCUGCCUUCUGCUCUUCAGGGCCAUCCCAGGACACCGGAAAUAAGGGGUGUAGAGUUUGGGG
This 1038-nucleotide long non-coding RNA is filed under the name Sus scrofa (pig). Its description in RNAcentral is "lncRNA (ENSSSCG00005042296.1)". Lineage: Eukaryota; Metazoa; Chordata; Mammalia; Artiodactyla; Suidae. The record is from RNAcentral.